CUACGGGGCGCUCCAGUGGGGAAUAUUGCACAAUGGAGGAAACUCUGAUGCAGCAACGCCGCGUGGAGGAUGACGCAUUUCGGUGUGUAAACUCCUUUUAUAUGUCAAGAAAAUGACGGUAGCAUAUGAAUAAGCACCGGCUAACCCCGUGCCAGCAGCCGCGGUAAUACGGAGGGUGCAAGCGUUACUCGGAAUCACUGGGCGUAAAGGACGCGUAGGCGGGUUGGAAAGUCAGGUGUGAAAUCCUACAGCUUAACUGUAGAACUGCACUUGAAACUUCUAAUCUAGAGUAUGGGAGGGGGAGAUGGAAUUAGUGGUGUAGGGGUAAAAUCCGUAGAUAUCACUAGGAAUACCUAAAGCGAAGGCGAUCUCCUGGAACAUUACUGACGCUAAGGCGUGAAAGCGUGGGGAGCAAACAGGAUUAGAUACCCCCGUAGUC
This 439-nucleotide ribosomal RNA is filed under the name uncultured bacterium. RNAcentral's name for it is "partial 16S ribosomal RNA". It matches the Rfam family "Bacterial small subunit ribosomal RNA", at positions 339 to 795 of the family's 1533-position model. The record is from RNAcentral.